AGUGAACGCUGGCGGUAGGCCUAACACAUGCAAGUCGAACGGCAGCACAGUAAGAGCUUGCUCUUACGGGUGGCGAGUGGCGGACGGGUGAGGAAUACAUCGGAAUCUACUUUUUCGUGGGGGAUAACGUAGGGAAACUUACGCUAAUACCGCAUACGACCUACGGGUGAAAGCAGGGGAUCUUCGGACCUUGCGCGAUUGAAUGAGCCGAUGUCGGAUUAGCUAGUUGGCGGGGUAAAGGCCCACCAAGGCGACGAUCCGUAGCUGGUCUGAGAGGAUGAUCAGCCACACUGGAACUGCGGAACGGUCCAGACUCCUACGGGAGGCAGCAGUGGGGAAUAUUGGACAAUGGGCGCAAGCCUGAUCCAGCCAUACCGCGUGCGUGACGAAGGCCUUCGGGUUUUAAAGCCCUUUUGUUGGGAAAGAAAAGCAGCAGGUUAAUACCCCGCUGUUCUGACGGUACCCAAAGAAUAAGCACCGGCUAACUUCGUG
Molecule: ribosomal RNA, 492 nt
Filed under: uncultured bacterium
Lineage: Bacteria
Description: partial 16S ribosomal RNA
Rfam family: Bacterial small subunit ribosomal RNA
Source: RNAcentral